Anolis sagrei ordinatus is the source of this 1993-nucleotide long non-coding RNA. RefSeq lists it as uncharacterized. NCBI's taxonomy places the organism in Eukaryota, Metazoa, Chordata, Lepidosauria, Squamata, Anolidae. The record is from RefSeq and is a predicted model, not a curated record.
UCUCUCCAUAUAUCUUUUCUGAGAAAGGGCAGGGCUAUAUAAGAAACUCGUAACAGGAAGACGAUGAAGCAUUUUUAGCACAUUUGUUAUUUUCAGUCUAGUGUAUCCUUGUGGCUAGCCAAUGAUAGUAAUGGCCAGCCUGCCGAACAUGUUUGCUUCAAGUUGAGUCCUACACUUCAGUUAAGGGUUAUACCCAGGAAUCUCUGCAAGCCAUCCUAAAGCCUCUGGAAGAGACUAAAACUGUUGGAAUCCCGAGUGUUGUGAGCUGCACCUACCCAGAAAAACCUGAGAAUGCUCUAGGAAGAUGUGGAACCACUGAAAAGUGAAUGCCUGCCAGAACUCUCCAUGAUGACCUUCACACUUCAUGUUUAAUACGUUCCCUUCAGGCAAGGCCACUGAAACAGAUAAUAGGGUCAAUCUUGUAUAAUUUUACUUAACAGUCUUGAAAGAUAGAUGGUCAGCUGACGCCACACCACAAGUAUCAUUUUGGAGGUCAUAAUCAUGAAAGAAAUCCAUGAUGCUACGAGCCCAGAAAGCUGCCAGCCAUAUACCUAAGGGUCUCACAAAUGCUGAAAUGUCCAUUGAUUAAUGAACUAAAAGAGUAGGAUUGAGACACGCUGAAAGAUCAUAGAUUCAGUGCCUUUCUACUUAAUGCUACCUCCCACCCCCAAGGGAAAUAUAGGGAUACAUUUAGAACUGCUUGCUAAAUAUUUUAAAAAUGGAUGUGAGAUUUAAAACUAAAUAUGGAAAGUGGUGAGGAUUUCAGGAUUUUUAUUUCACAAAAAGAUGGUCUACAUCUUCAGAGGAUUCAGGUGAUCAGAGUAGGCAACAUAACUUGACAGGGUUGGGCACCUGGUGAGGUCCACAACUCUGUAGCAGCUCUUCCUAAUCAUCCCUUGUUGUUAUCAAGAUGAAAAGGGGUGUGUGUGUGUGUGUGUGAAGGCAGCCAAUAAUCAAUCACAUGAUUAUUUUAGCACUCCCUUGGUGACAUCCAUUAUCUGUCCUCAUUCAUGUCUUUCUUUUGAUGGUCCAAAGGUUUUCUUUUCUCCAGAACAGAUCUGCACAACUUGGCCCUUCUGAAGGGCCGAUAUUUUUUUAAAAUUCCUGCAGGUCACUCUUCCUCCCUCCUGCCUGCCUGACCAGGAAAGGAGGAAGGGAAGAACAGUGGCCUGCAGUGCCCAGCGAAAGCCCUAGGCUUCUUUCUCCUUUGCCAGUUGGCCCUUCGCCGGCCUGCCUUUCUGGUCAGGCAGGGAGGCACAGAGCCAACCGCCCAAGGGGAAACCAAGAGAGGCCCUUUGUGGACCACAUCUGACCCGCGGGCCAUAUGCUGUGCAGGCCUGGUCUAGACUGUCCUGAGCUUUCAUGUUCUGUGUUGGACCUGCCUCUUUAACCUCAAAGUGUGCUUUCCACCUAGAUAUGCAGAAUCCCUUAGCUUAGUUUAUCAAUAAUUUAUUACUUUUCUCAGGUUGUUUAUACAGUGGACAAGUAUGAUUUGCUUUGGUGGUUAUAGUAGAAGGAACAAAGCUCCCCCCACACCCACAUAUACUUUCUACCCUUCUAGAGGUAACAUCACAGUACAUUAAAGACAUCAUAUCUCCUUUCAUAUUAAACUGUCUGUCAGUUCUCUUGCUCAAAUGCUGUAAAUCUGCCACAGUAGCUUGUGCUUGGGGAGCUUUCAUUAUGAAAAUAUGAAGAUAAGAACUCAGCUUCUGUGUUACAAGCAGAAAGAUGCCCGGCUGCAAUGAGGUUACUUUGAAAUUAUGUAUUUAUAGCUGUGUGUUUUCUUAACUUUGCCAUUAUCUGUUAGGGCAAUUUUUCAAAAGAUAUCACUGGGUUUAGGAAGUUAUUAUCUCUCUCUUUCUCUCUCUCUCUAUUCAUGGUUUAAAAGCCAGGGGAACAAAGCAUGAAUAUACAGGGCAGUAAAAUGUACUAGCGCAUAUAUUUUAAACUUGCCCAUGCAGUAAAUCAUUAGCUUUUCUCAUUCACUUUAGGC